UAAUCUCUAAAAGUGUUUUCCGCGUUGGACCGCACACAAGUCUGUUGGAAUACAGCGGCAUAGUGGUGAGACCCCCGUAUAUGGUGCGGACGCCCAACGCUUUGUGAUACACUUUCGAAGAGUCGAGUUGUUUGGGAAUGCAGCUCAAAUUGGGUGGUAAAUUCCAUCUAAAGCUAAAUAUUGGCGAGAGACCGAUAGCGAACAAGUACCGUGAGGGAAAGAUGAAAAGCACUUUGGAAAGAGAGUUAACAGUACGUGAAAUUGUUGGAAGGGAAACGCUUGAAGUCAGACUUGCUUGCCGAGCAAUCGGUUUGCAGGCCAGCAUCAGUUUUCCGGGGUGGAUAAUGGUAGAGAGAAGGUAGCAGUUUCGGCUGUGUUAUAGCUCUUUGCUGGAUACACCUUGGGGGACUGAGGAACGCAGUGUGCCUUACGGCGGAUUUCUCGAGAUCUUCACACUUAGGAUGCUGGUGGAAUGGCUUUAAACGACCC
Molecule: ribosomal RNA, 489 nt
Filed under: Rhodotorula taiwanensis
Lineage: Eukaryota; Fungi; Basidiomycota; Microbotryomycetes; Sporidiobolales; Sporidiobolaceae
Description: partial large subunit ribosomal RNA
Rfam family: Eukaryotic large subunit ribosomal RNA
Source: RNAcentral